Molecule: long non-coding RNA, 1237 nt
Organism: Oncorhynchus tshawytscha (Chinook salmon)
Lineage: Eukaryota; Metazoa; Chordata; Actinopteri; Salmoniformes; Salmonidae
Source: Ensembl
AAACAAAUAAAAAUUAUGUUUUAUUGUCACAUAUGUAACGGAUGUGAAACGGCUAGCUUAGUUAGCCGUGCGCGCUAAAUAGCGUUUCAAUCGGCGACGUUGCUCUGAGACCUUGAAGUAGUAGUUCACCUUGCUCUGCAAGGGCCGCAAUGGGUAACGAUGCUUCGAGGGUGACUGUUGUUGAUGUGUGCAGAGGGUCCCUGGUUCGCGCCCGGGUAUGGGCGAGGGGACGGUCUAAAGUUAUACUGUUACAUUGAUGCUGUUGACCCGGAUCACUGGUUGCUGCGGAAAAGGAGGAGGUCAGAAAGGGGGAUACAGUGGAGGCUGCUGAGAGAACGGCUCAUAAUACUGAACAGAACGGAGCAAACGGAAAUGGCAUCAAACCUGGAAAUCACCUGUUUGAGAAAAGCAGAACUGCCGUGUUGACAAUGUCACGAUCGUCGUAAGGAACGGACCAAAAUGCAGCGUGGUAGAGAUUCAACUGUGAGGUCAGCAGACAACCUGGGCAGUGCCAUCUAGUGGACUCUGUGAGGAGAACAAGCUCAGACUCAUUGGGCUUGCACGGCGGGGGAGCUGACAUCAACCCAACCUCUUGCCCUGGGCUCGUUUUCAUCUGUUGCUUAUAAUCAGAACAGAGUUUCCAUCCAGAAACAACCUCUAGCCCCUAGGAUCUGUGUAGAUCUGAAAGGGUGGGAUAGGUAUGGCCAAAGUUCCACAUAACCGUUUUCCAUUACAGUGUAGGCUAUUCAUAGAGUAUUCUUUCCCUGUUUUGGACAGGGAAAGAAUUUCUGUGUUUUGAAUGGUACUGUUAUUCCACCCCACAGAAUACAGUAACAUACUGUAUCUUUGGAGCUCCAAAAAACUUUUGACCACUAGUGGGUACAUGUUAUUGUUGUUUCUGGCUCAUUAACAUAUUUUGAGGCGUGGCUUGUAAGAGGUUAUAUUUGUUGCACUGGUGAGUGAGACUGCUGUAACAAUUUAGAUCCCACAUGGUUAUUGUGCCCCAUUGCAGUAAUUAUUAACCACUGUAAGUUUAAGCUGUUGGAGGGGGGUUGAUGGGUAUUUUUUUAUUAUGUUACCUAUGUUGAUGUACUGGUGCAUCAAUUGACUCUAGGUGAUUAAACGGUUGAGCAUUUUACUAUGUCCUUUAGGUCUGUUUUGCCUUGUAGUCGCUGCCAGUUUGGAAUCCUUUGUUAAGGCCUCCAGAAGUGCAAGUGAUAUAAAACACCAAAUGUGA